GACGAACGCUGGCGGCGUGCUUAACACAUGCAAGUCGAACGGAAAGGCCCUGCUUUUGUGGGGUGCUCGAGUGGCGAACGGGUGAGUAACACGUGAGUAACCUGCCCUUGACUUUGGGAUAACUUCAGGAAACUGGGGCUAAUACCGGAUAAGAGCUCCUGCUGCAUGGUGGGGGUUGGAAAUUCUCGGCGGUUGGGGAUGGACUCGCGGCUUAUCAGCUUGUUGGUGGGGUAGUGGCUUACCAAGGCUUUGACGGGUAGCCGGCCUGAGAGGGUGACCGGCCACAUUGGGACUGAGAUACGGCCCAGACUCCUACGGGAGGCAGCAGUGGGGAAUAUUGCACAAUGGGAGGAAGCCUGAUGAAGCAACGCCGCGUGCGGGAUGACGGCCUUCGGGUUGUAAACCGCAUUAGCCUGUGACGAAGCGUGAGUGACGGUAAUGGGUAAAGAAGCACCGGCUAACUACGUG
Molecule: ribosomal RNA, 468 nt
Filed under: uncultured bacterium
Lineage: Bacteria
Description: partial 16S ribosomal RNA
Rfam family: Bacterial small subunit ribosomal RNA
Source: RNAcentral